This 305-nucleotide ribosomal RNA is filed under the name uncultured bacterium. Its description in RNAcentral is "bacterial SSU rRNA". It matches the Rfam family "Bacterial small subunit ribosomal RNA", at positions 332 to 656 of the family's 1533-position model. The record is from RNAcentral.
UCGACCUACGGGAGGCAGCAGUCGGGAAUAUUGCGCAAUGGAGGAAACUCUGACGCAGUGACGCCGCGUAUAGGAAGAAGGUUUUCGGAUUGUAAACUAUUGUCGUUAGGGAAGAGAAAGGACAGUACCUAAGGAGGAAGCUCCGGCUAACUACGUGCCAGCAGCCGCGGUAAUACGGAGGAUGCGAGCGUUAUCCGGAUUUAUUGGGUUUAAAGGGUGCGUAGGCGGAAUGCCAAGUCAGCGGUAAAAUCGCGGGGCUCAACCUCGCUCCGCCGUUGAAACUGGCGUUCUUGAGUGGGCGAGAG